RNAcentral lists this long non-coding RNA (1188 nucleotides) under Parus major (Great Tit). RNAcentral describes it as "lncRNA (ENSPMJG00000000905.1)". Lineage: Eukaryota; Metazoa; Chordata; Aves; Passeriformes; Paridae. The record is from RNAcentral.
AUACUCUGUCAUGAAUUGAAGGAGUUUUUUUCAGAACUCUCCAUAGUCUUUCCAUCUGUCCAUCUCCAUAGUCUUUAACAGAAAAAUUUUCAGCUUAUUAAAGCAUCUUCUUAUUUCUCUACCCCCUCUGAGGCUUAAUUCCUUUCUUCACUGUCUUUGAUAGUUUAUAGAGUCUCUUCCUAUGCUGAUCAUUCAUUCUCUCUCUCUCUCUCUCUCUCUGGAAAAAAGGAUUAAUCUACAAGUCUCAUCUGGGUAAUGAAAAGGUUAAAAUCUUGCCCAGGCCUUGUAGCUGGUUUUAUUAGCUUUGCCAGAGCAGCGGCUGGAGCUGUGUGCGAUAGCCUCUCCUUACUUGGCAGUCUCUGAAAAAAAAACUCAGCAGCAGCAGAAACUGCAACCCGAGUCAGGCCAGCCAGCUCUGCUUUUCUUCGCCCCACCCCUCCGCGGCCUUGUCCGGGCUGGCGGGGGCAGGGAGGGAAGGCUGAAUCGGAGCCUUGUUACCUCUUCAAAAGCCGGAAAUCAAAGUGAAUAAGAAACUCUCGGCCUUACCUCUUAAGGUAGGUGUUCACAGGUUGAUCUCACUUCUCAAUGGUUAAAACUGCUGCCAAUUCUCUGAAAUGGCCAGUCAUUGGUCAAGAGAAAAAACUCCCAUCAGCCUCCAGCAGUUUUCAACUUCCCUAGCUCCCAAAGCUAUCUUAAAGGUAAAGUCACUCCAGGACACACCUCCAGCCACAAGUGACUCUGGUUAUAGUUUUGGAAGUGAACCAUCAGAUGAGAGCUACUCCUGAUGCCUGGCCUGUGGGCCUCUGUGUCAUCAUUUAAAUGGAGUCCUUCCUCUGUUUGCUGGGGAUCUUCCUGAAUGUGGAGGGUAGACAAACCCCCUCUCCUUGCAAGUGAAAGAAGAGAGCUGUUCUGUACAACAUAAUGGUAGCUGUCAGAUGAAACUGUUGUGUCUGCAGAAAGUAAAAAAUCAGCAUUGAGAUCAAAGGCAUUCCAAUGGGACUGCCAAACAACAUAUUUUCUGUGGGAAAGAAGAAAGAGAAAUCCAGCUUUUGGCUUCUGCCCUGUGAAAACUGCCUCCUUCAAGUGAGAGUUCAGUCUUUAGAACUCUUCACCAAGCACCAUCUUCUAAGCAGUCAAGCUGUUUACCAUUAUUUUUGCUAUGUCAGUCCCAAAAGACUUAUUUGCUAA